RNAcentral lists this ribosomal RNA (400 nucleotides) under uncultured bacterium. RNAcentral describes it as "bacterial SSU rRNA". It matches the Rfam family "Bacterial small subunit ribosomal RNA", at positions 355 to 772 of the family's 1533-position model. The record is from RNAcentral.
UGGGGGAUAUUGCACAAUGGAGGAAACUCUGAUGCAGCAACGCCGCGUGAGGGAAGACGGUUUUCGGAUUGUAAACCUCUGUCCUUGGUGAAGAUAAUGACGGUAGCCAAGGAGGAAGCUCCGGCUAACUACGUGCCAGCAGCCGCGGUAAUACGUAGGGAGCAAGCGUUGUCCGGAUUUACUGGGUGUAAAGGGUGCGUAGGCGGCUUUACAAGUCAGGCGUGAAAUAUAUGGGCUUAACCCAUAGACUGCGUUUGAAACUGUAGAGCUUGAGUGAAGUAGAGGUAGGCGGAAUUCCCGGUGUAGCGGUGAAAUGCGUAGAGAUCGGGAGGAACACCAGUGGCGAAGGCGGCCUACUGGGCUUUAACUGACGCUGAGGCACGAAAGCAUGGGUAGCAAA